GAGGGUAUAGUUCAGUGGUAGAAUGUGUGCUUAGUAUGCACGAGGUCCUGGGUUCAAUCCCCAGUACCUCUG
RNAcentral lists this transfer RNA (72 nucleotides) under Camelus bactrianus (Bactrian camel). It matches the Rfam family "tRNA". Rfam says of the family: Transfer RNA (tRNA) molecules are approximately 80 nucleotides in length. Lineage: Eukaryota; Metazoa; Chordata; Mammalia; Artiodactyla; Camelidae. RNAcentral also lists the same sequence under 2 other names. The record is from Rfam by way of RNAcentral.